AGAGAGCGGUAUGGAAAGACCAAGUCAGGAAAGAACCACAUAACACGAAGAGACUUCAGAGCUUGCAAGCUAACCAACAUGGUGAGAUCACAAAAAGCCAAACACGAAAUAUCAAUAUGAGAGUUCAGCCAGGUAUGACUUUAUCACUCUGAUUUUGCGUAUGUUCUGUUGACACGUCACAGCAUGACAACACACACUGAGGCAAGUUGUUUGUUUAGCCAGAGCCUUUCUAGCCAUCCCUAUAUGUAUGUUUCCCUUCGUAAACCCCGUUGAGCCUUAGCCAUUUUGUUCAUUGUAAACCCCAUGUUAACGUUUAAGCAUUAUUCAUCAUAAACCCCCUGUUAACUUUUAAUCAUCCAUUUCCUUUUGUGUCAUAACUCGGUAUGAUUGUGUGAAUUGCAAGAUGUGCAAUAAAACUAAGUUUGGGGUGGAAAUCUUGAAAGAGAAGGCAAGUGCAUAAGAUGAGAUCAUACAAAAAGAAAAACAGUAUGUAUUUUCUUUAAAAGAAAAAAAAGAGAAAAAAAAGAAAAAGAAAAGAAACACAAAAGAGAAAAAUGCACUUGCCGAGACUUUAGACUCUAACAGAUAUAAAAUGCUCGGAAAAUGUGAGUAGAAAAAAGUCAAAAGAGUUUUUACCCCAGAGUAUACGUGAUGCACGGAAAAAAGAAAAGAAAGAAAAAGUACACAACAUGACUACCGAGUUCAAAAACCCUUGUUAUCCAAUUUUUU
RNAcentral lists this long non-coding RNA (729 nucleotides) under Lathyrus oleraceus (garden pea). RNAcentral's name for it is "Pisum sativum (pea) long non-coding RNA (PSAT_LNC014212)". Lineage: Eukaryota; Viridiplantae; Streptophyta; Magnoliopsida; Fabales; Fabaceae. The record is from RNAcentral.